GCUGUGGCUGGAUUCAAGUAAUCCAGGAUAGGCUGUUUCCAUCUGUGAGGCCUAUUCUUGAUUACUUGUUUCUGGAGGCAGCU
Molecule: microRNA precursor, 83 nt
Filed under: Pan troglodytes (chimpanzee)
Lineage: Eukaryota; Metazoa; Chordata; Mammalia; Primates; Hominidae
Description: microRNA ptr-mir-26a precursor (ptr-mir-26a-2)
Gene: ptr-mir-26a-2
Rfam family: mir-26 microRNA precursor family
About the family: The hairpin precursors (represented here) are predicted based on base pairing and cross-species conservation -- their extents are not known. In this case the mature sequence is excised from the 5' arm of the hairpin.
Source: miRBase by way of RNAcentral